CCUACGGGAGGCAGCAGUCGAGAAUCUUCGGCAAUGGACGCAAGUCUGACCGAGCGACGCCGCGUGCGGGAUGAAGGCCUUCGGGUUGUAAACCGCUGUCAGAGGGGAUGAAGUGUACGGGAGUUAUCUCCUGUAUUUGACAGAGCCUCAGAGGAAGCACGGGCUAAGUUCGUGCCAGCAGCCGCGGUAAUACGAACUGUGCGAACGUUAUUCGGAAUCACUGGGCUUAAAGGGUGCGUAGGCGGCUGCCUAAGUCAGGUGUGAAAUCUCUCGGCUCAACCGGGAAACUGCGCUUGAUACUGGGCGGCUAGAGUGAGGUAGGGGUGUGUGGAACUUCCGGUGGAGCGGUGAAAUGUGUAGAUAUCGGAAGGAACGCCAGCAGCGAAAGCGGCACACUGGGCCUUUUCUGACGCUGAGGCACGAAAGCUAGGGGAGCGAACGGGAUUAGAUACCCCGGUAGUCCUAGCCGUAAACACUGAACACUCGAGGAGGGGGCUUCGGGCCUUCUUCCUCUUAGCGAAAGCGUUAAGUGUUCCGCCUGGGGAGUAGUGGUCGCAAGGCUGAAACUUAAAGGAAAUUGAGG
This 583-nucleotide ribosomal RNA is filed under the name uncultured bacterium. RNAcentral describes it as "bacterial SSU rRNA". It matches the Rfam family "Bacterial small subunit ribosomal RNA", at positions 338 to 916 of the family's 1533-position model. The record is from RNAcentral.